Molecule: long non-coding RNA, 493 nt
Organism: Jaculus jaculus (lesser Egyptian jerboa)
Lineage: Eukaryota; Metazoa; Chordata; Mammalia; Rodentia; Dipodidae
Exons: 3
Source: RefSeq, a predicted model, not a curated record
AGGCUCCAAGGGCUGGCCAGGCUUCCGUGCAGGACGUUGGCGGCCUUUGUUUGCAUGAGUCCUGUGUGCGCCACCCAGUGAUCUUUCUCUGUGCUGAUGCCUCGUCCAGGCUGAAGCUGUGCCAAGCACAGGAAAUACCAGGGAGCAGCGCCGGCAUGGUGCUGGGCGCAGCACAGCGGGUUAGGCCUUCUCCCCACCGCCUUCCACCUGCAGCUGCUCCCAUGUCGGAGUCCUCAAGCAGCCGUAGGACACCGUCCAUCCAGGCUCCCCACUGCCUUCAGGAACAGACGUGAGGUGCGCUGCAUUCGGGCCAUCCUUCUUGGAACAGAACAUAGCUGGGAAUCAAACCCAGGAAGGACUUCAAUGAUGCUAGGAGAGCAAGUACUGGCCAGUGAGCGGCAUCCCCCCUGCAACCUACAGAGGAUGUUUUGAUGAGAGAUUCAUAUUUUAAGGUCAUCACCAAUGACUGCCAUGUCCAUAUCCUCCCAGAACU